UAGCUCAGUGGUUAGAGCACUGACUGAUCUUCCAGAGGACCUGGGUUCAAUUCCCAG
RNAcentral lists this transfer RNA (57 nucleotides) under Neotoma lepida (desert woodrat). It matches the Rfam family "tRNA", at positions 8 to 63 of the family's 71-position model. From Rfam's summary of the family: Transfer RNA (tRNA) molecules are approximately 80 nucleotides in length. Lineage: Eukaryota; Metazoa; Chordata; Mammalia; Rodentia; Cricetidae. The record is from Rfam by way of RNAcentral.